GAUGAACGCUGGCGGCGUGCCUAAUACAUGCAAGUCGAGCGAACGGACGAGAAGCUUGCUUCUCUGAUGUUAGCGGCGGACGGGUGAGUAACACGUGGAUAACCUACCUAUAAGACUGGGAUAACUUCGGGAAACCGUAGCUAAUACCGGAUAAUAUUUUGAACCGCAUGGUUCAAAAGUGAAAGACGGUCUUGCUGUCACUUAUAGAUGGAUCCGCGCUGCAUUAGCUAGUUGGUAAGGUAACGGCUUACCAAGGCAACGAUGCGUAGCCGACCUGAGAGGGUGAUCGGCCACACUGGAACUGAGACACGGUCCAGACUCCUACGGGAGGCAGCAGUAGGGAAUCUUCCGCAAUGGGCGAAAGCCUGACGGAGCAACGCCGCGUGAGUGAUGAAGGUCUUCGGAUCGUAAAACUCUGUUAUUAGGGAAGAACAUAUGUGUGAGUAACUGUGCACAUCUUGACGGUACCUAAUCAGAAAGCCACGGCUAACUACGUG
RNAcentral lists this ribosomal RNA (497 nucleotides) under uncultured bacterium. RNAcentral's name for it is "partial 16S ribosomal RNA". It matches the Rfam family "Bacterial small subunit ribosomal RNA", at positions 28 to 507 of the family's 1533-position model. The record is from RNAcentral.